UGGGGAAUCUUGCGCAAUGGGCGAAAGCCUGACGCAGCGACGCCGCGUGGGGGAUGAAGGCCUUCGGGUUGUAAACCUCUUUCGGCAGGGACGAAGUUGACGUGUACCUGCGGAAGAAGCGCCGGCUAACUACGUGCCAGCAGCCGCGGUAAUACGUAGGGCGCGAGCGUUGUCCGGAAUUAUUGGGCGUAAAGAGCUCGUAGGCGGUUUGUCGCGUCUGUCGUGAAAGCCCACGGCUUAACUGUGGGUCUGCGGUGGAUACGGGCAGACUAGAGGCAGGUAGGGGAGCAUGGAAUUCCCGGUGUAGCGGUGAAAUGCGCAGAUAUCGGGAGGAACACCGGUGGCGAAGGCGGUGCUCUGGGCCUGUUCUGACGCUGAGGAGCGAAAGCGUGGGGAGCGAACAGGAUUAGAUACC
RNAcentral lists this ribosomal RNA (415 nucleotides) under uncultured bacterium. RNAcentral's name for it is "bacterial SSU rRNA". It matches the Rfam family "Bacterial small subunit ribosomal RNA", at positions 355 to 786 of the family's 1533-position model. The record is from RNAcentral.